AGUGAACGCUGGCGGUAGGCCUAACACAUGCAAGUCGAACGGCGGCACAGUAAGAGCUUGCUCUUACGGGUGGCGAGUGGCGGACGGGUGAGGAAUACAUCGGAAUCUACUUUUUCGUGGGGGGAAACGUAGGGAAAUUACCCUUAUACCGCCUAACAACAUCGGGGUGAAGCCCGGGAACUUCCGACCUUCCGCGGAUGUAUUAGCCGGUGUGGGAUUUGCCAGGUGGCGGGGUAAAGGGCCACCAAGGGGACGGUCCGUAGCUGGUCUGAGAGGAUGAUCAGACACACUGGAACUGAGAGACGGUCCAGACUCCUACGGGGGGCAGCAGUGGGGAAUAUUGGACAAUGGGCGCAAGCCUGAUCCAGCCAUACCGCGUGGGUGAAGAAGGCCUUCGGGUUGUAAAGCCCUUUUGUUGGGAAAGAAAAGCAGCAGGUUAAUACCCCGCUGUUCUGACGGUACCCAAAGAAUAAGCACCGGCUAACUUCGUG
Molecule: ribosomal RNA, 491 nt
Filed under: uncultured bacterium
Lineage: Bacteria
Description: partial 16S ribosomal RNA
Rfam family: Bacterial small subunit ribosomal RNA
Source: RNAcentral